AACGAACGCUGGCGGCAUGCCUAACACAUGCAAGUCGAACGAGACCUUCGGGUCUAGUGGCGCACGGGUGCGUAACGCGGGGGAACCUGCCCUUAGGUUCGGAAUAACUCCCCGAAAGGUGUGCUAAUACCGGAUAAUGUCUUCGGACCAAAGAUCUAUCGCCUUUGGGUGGGCCCGGGUUGGAUUAGCUAGUUGGUAGGGUAAAAGCCUGCCAAGGGGACGAUGCAUAGCUGGUCUGAGAGGAGGCUCAGCCGCGCUGGGACUGAGACACGGCCCAGACUCGUACGCAGCGGUGCAGAGGGGAACAUUGUAGACUGGGCGAAGGCGUGAUCCAGCAGCGCGGGGGGAGUGAUGAAGCCCGUUGGGUUGUAAAGCUCUUUUACCCGAGGCGUGAGUGACAGUACCGGGAGAAUAAGCUCCGGCUAACUCCGUG
RNAcentral lists this ribosomal RNA (433 nucleotides) under uncultured bacterium. Its description in RNAcentral is "partial 16S ribosomal RNA". It matches the Rfam family "Bacterial small subunit ribosomal RNA", at positions 29 to 507 of the family's 1533-position model. The record is from RNAcentral.